UUUAUAAUAAGCUAAGUAAAGCUAAUGGACUCAUACUUCAUUUAUAGAUUUUAUCUUAAUAAAA
This 64-nucleotide transfer RNA is filed under the name Diptera sp. 66 LC-2017. RNAcentral describes it as "tRNA-Met". The record is from RNAcentral. Lineage: Eukaryota; Metazoa; Arthropoda; Insecta; Diptera.